UACGAAGGGGGCUAGUGUUGCUCGGAAUCACUGGGCGUAAAGGGUGCGUAGGCGGGGUUUUAAGUCAGGGGUGAAAUCCUGGAGCUCAACUCCAGAACUGCCUUUGAUACUGAAGAUCUUGAGUCCGGGAGAGGUGAGUGGAACUGCGAGUGUAGAGGUGAAAUUCGUAGAUAUUCGCAAGAACACCAGUGGCGAAGGCGGCUCACUGGCCCGGUACUGACGCUGAGGCACGAAAGCGUGGGGAGCAAACAGG
Molecule: ribosomal RNA, 253 nt
Filed under: uncultured bacterium
Lineage: Bacteria
Description: partial 16S ribosomal RNA
Rfam family: Bacterial small subunit ribosomal RNA
Source: RNAcentral